GAUGAACGCUGGCGGCGUGCCUAAUACAUGCAAGUCGAGCGAACAGAUGAGGAUCUUGCUCCUCUGACGUUAGCGGCGGACGGGUGAGUAACACGUGUAUAACCUACCUAUAAGACUGGGAUAACUUCGGGAAACCAGAGCUAAUACCGGAUGAUAUAUUGAACCGCGUGGUUCGAUAGUGAAAGACGGUGUUGCUGGCACUUAUAGAUGGAUCCGCGCCGCAUUAGCUAGUUGGUAAGGUAACGGCUUACCAAGGCAACGAUGCGUAGCUGACCUGAGAGGGUGAUAGGCGACACUGGAACUGAGACGCGGACAAGACUACUAAGGGAGGCAGCAGUAGGGAAUCUUACGCAAUGGGCGAAAGCAUGACGGAGCAACGCGGCGUGAGUGAUGAAGGUCUUCGGAUCGUAAAAAUCUGUUAUUAGGGAAGAACAAAUGUGUAAGUAACUAUGCACGUAUUGACGGUAACUAAUCAGAAAGCAACGGCUAACUACGUG
RNAcentral lists this ribosomal RNA (497 nucleotides) under uncultured bacterium. Its description in RNAcentral is "partial 16S ribosomal RNA". It matches the Rfam family "Bacterial small subunit ribosomal RNA", at positions 28 to 507 of the family's 1533-position model. The record is from RNAcentral.